AUUGCACGUCUAAGCAGUAAGGCUGAGUAUUAGGCAAAUCCGGUACUCGUUAAGGCUGAGCUGUGAUGGGGAGAAGACAUUGUGUCUUCGAGUCGUUGAUUUCACACUGCCGAGAAAAGCCUCUAGAUAGAAAAUAGGUGCCCGUACCGCAAACCGACACAGGUAGUCAAGAUGAGAAUUCUAAGGUGAGCGAGCGAACUCUCGUUAAGGAACUCGGCAAAAUGACCCCGUAACUUCGGGAGAAGGGGUGCUCUUUAGGGUUAACGCCCAGAAGAGCCGCAGUGAAUAGGCCCAAGCGACUGUUUAUCAAAAACACAGGUCUCUGCUAAACCGUAAGGUGAUGUAUAGGGGCUGACGCCUGCCCGGUGCUGGAAGGUUAAGAGGAGUGGUUAGCUUCUGCGAAGCUACGAAUCGAAGCCCCAGUAAACGGCGGCCGUAACUAUAACGGUCCUAAGGUAGCGAAAUUCCUUGUCGGGUAAGUUCCGACCCGCACGAAAGGCGUAACGAUUUGGGCACUGUCUCAACGAGAGACUCGGUGAAAUCAUAGUACCUGUGAAGAUGCAGGUUACCCGCGACAGGACGGAAAGACCCCGUGGAGCUUUACUGUAGCCUGAUAUUGAAAUUCGGCACAGCUUGUACAGGAUAG
Molecule: ribosomal RNA, 646 nt
Filed under: Staphylococcus aureus
Lineage: Bacteria; Bacillati; Bacillota; Bacilli; Caryophanales; Staphylococcaceae
Description: partial 23S ribosomal RNA
Rfam family: Bacterial large subunit ribosomal RNA
Source: RNAcentral